Molecule: transfer RNA, 41 nt
Filed under: Sistrurus catenatus (massasauga)
Lineage: Eukaryota; Metazoa; Chordata; Lepidosauria; Squamata; Viperidae
Description: partial tRNA-Ser
Source: RNAcentral
CGAGAGGUACAGAAGACCUGCUAACUCUUUAAUCUGGUAAA